UUUACAUCAAAAGACCUUCUAGGGUCCCUUGAUGUCCCUUCUCUGCUGGACCUACUAGACAUUACCCUUGGCAGAGCAGAGGGAAGGGCAUCCCUGCCCUCAUUCUCAGGUGGGACUCCAGUCAAUUGUGUAGAUCGACGAGUACCUCGCAUUCUGUUUUCUGAAAAACAACAUACACCUCAAAACAUUAGCAUUAAUGGUUCAUGUGAAAACACAUGAACCCGCAUCACAUACA
This 235-nucleotide long non-coding RNA is filed under the name Manihot esculenta (cassava). RNAcentral describes it as "long non-coding RNA (MESC_LNC009720)". Lineage: Eukaryota; Viridiplantae; Streptophyta; Magnoliopsida; Malpighiales; Euphorbiaceae. The record is from RNAcentral.